GGGUUGUGAGGUUAAGCGACUAAGCGUACACGGUGGAUGCCCUGGCAGUCAGAGGCGAUGAAGGACGUGCUAAUCUGCGAAAAGCGUCGGUAAGGUGAUAUGAACCGUUAUAGCCGGCGAUGUCCGAAUGGGGAAACCCAGUGCAAUUCGUUGCACUAUCGUUAACUGAAUACAUAGGUUAACGAGGCGAACCGGGGGAACUGAAACAUCUAAGUACCCCGAGGAAAAGAAAUCAACCGAGAUUCCCCCAGUAGCGGCGAGCGAACGGGGAGCAGCCCAGAGUCUGAAUCAGCUUGUGUGUUAGUGGAACGGUCUGGAAAGUCCGACGGUACAGGGUGAUAGUCCCGUACACCAAAAUGCACAGGCUGUGAACUCGAAGAGUAGGGCGGGACACGUGGUAUCCUGUCUGAAUAUGGGGGGACCAUCCUCCAAGGCUAAAUACUCCUGACUGACCGAUAGUGAACCAGUACCGUGAGGGAAAGGCGAAAAGAACCCCGGCGAGGGGAGUGAAAAAGAACCUGAAACCGUGUACGUACAAGCAGUGGGAGCACCUUCGGGUGUGACUGCGUACCUUUUGUAUAAUGGGUCAGCGACUUAUAUUCUGUAGCAAGGUUAACCGUAUAGGGGAGCCGCAGGGAAACCGAGUCUUAACUGGGCGUUAAGUUGCAGGGUAUAGACCCGAAACCCGGUGAUCUAGCCAUGGGCAGGUUGAAGGUUGGGUAACACUAACUGGAGGACCGAACCGACUAAUGUUGAAAAAUUAGCGGAUGACUUGUGGCUGGGGGUGAAAGGCCAAUCAAACCGGGAGAUAGCUGGUUCUCCCCGAAAGCUAUUUAGGUAGCGCCUCGUGAACUCAUCUUCGGGGGUAGAGCACUGUUUCGGCUAGGGGGUCAUCCCGACUUACCAACCCGAUGCAAACUACGAAUACCGAAGAAUGUUAUCACGGGAGACACACGGCGGGUGCUAACGUCCGUCGUGAAGAGGGAAACAACCCAGACCGCCAGCUAAGGUCCCAAAGUCAUGGUUAAGUGGGAAACGAUGUGGGAAGGCACAGACAGCCAGGAUGUUGGCUUAGAAGCAGCCAUCAUUUAAAGAAAGCGUAAUAGCUCACUGGUCGAGUCGGCCUGCGCGGAAGAUGUAACGGGGCUAAACCAUGCACCGAAGCUGCGGCAGCGACACUAUGUGUUGUUGGGUAGGGGAGCGUUCUGUAAGCCUGCGAAGGUGACCUGUGAGGGUUGCUGGAGGUAUCAGAAGUGCGAAUGCUGACAUAAGUAACGAUAAAGCGGGUGAAAAGCCCGCUCGCCGGAAGACCAAGGGUUCCUGUCCAACGUUAAUCGGGGCAGGGUGAGUCGACCCCUAAGGCGAGGCCGAAAGGCGUAGUCGAUGGGAAACAGGUUAAUAUUCCUGUACUUGGUGUUACUGCGAAGGGGGGACGGAGAAGGCUAUGUUAGCCGGGCGACGGUUGUCCCGGUUUAAGCAUGUAGGCUGGUUGUCCAGGCAAAUCCGGAUAAUCAAGGCUGAGGUGUGAUGACGAGGCACUACGGUGCUGAAGUAACAAAUGCCCUGCUUCCAGGAAAAGCCUCUAAGCAUCAGGUAACAUCAAAUCGUACCCCAAACCGACACAGGUGGUCAGGUAGAGAAUACCAAGGCGCUUGAGAGAACUCGGGUGAAGGAACUAGGCAAAAUGGUGCCGUAACUUCGGGAGAAGGCACGCUGGUGUGUAGGUGAAGUCCCUGCGGAUGGAGCUGAGACCAGUCGAAGAUACCAGCUGGCUGCAACUGUUUAUUAAAAACACAGCACUGUGCAAACACGAAAGUGGACGUAUACGGUGUGACGCCUGCCCGGUGCCGGAAGGUUAAUUGAUGGGGUUAUCCGUAAGGAGAAGCUCUUGAUCGAAGCCCCGGUAAACGGCGGCCGUAACUAUAACGGUCCUAAGGUAGCGAAAUUCCUUGUCGGGUAAGUUCCGACCUGCACGAAUGGCGUAAUGAUGGCCAGGCUGUCUCCACCCGAGACUCAGUGAAAUUGAACUCGCUGUGAAGAUGCAGUGUACCCGCGGCAAGACGGAAAGACCCCGUGAACCUUUACUAUAGCUUGACACUGAACAUUGAGCCUUGAUGUGUAGGAUAGGUGGGAGGCUUUGAAGCGUGGACGCCAGUCUGCGUGGAGCCAACCUUGAAAUACCACCCUUUAAUGUUUGAUGUUCUAACGUUGGCCCCUUACCGGGGUUGCGGACAGUGUCUGGUGGGUAGUUUGACUGGGGCGGUCUCCUCCCAAAGCGUAACGGAGGAGCACGAAGGUUAGCUAAUCCUGGUCGGACAUCAGGAGGUUAGUGCAAUGGCAUAAGCUAGCUUGACUGCGAGCGUGACGGCGCGAGCAGGUGCGAAAGCAGGUCAUAGUGAUCCGGUGGUUCUGAAUGGAAGGGCCAUCGCUCAACGGAUAAAAGGUACUCCGGGGAUAACAGGCUGAUACCGCCCAAGAGUUCAUAUCGACGGCGGUGUUUGGCACCUCGAUGUCGGCUCAUCACAUCCUGGGGCUGAAGUAGGUCCCAAGGGUAUGGCUGUUCGCCAUUUAAAGUGGUACGCGAGCUGGGUUUAGAACGUCGUGAGACAGUUCGGUCCCUAUCUGCCGUGGGCGCUGGAGAAUUGAGGGGGGCUGCUCCUAGUACGAGAGGACCGGAGUGGACGCAUCACUGGUGUUCGGGUUGUCAUGCCAAUGGCACUGCCCGGUAGCUAAAUGCGGAAGAGAUAAGUGCUGAAAGCAUCUAAGCACGAAACUUGCCCCGAGAUGAGUUCUCCCUGAGACUUUAAGUCUCCUGAAGGAACGUUGAAGACGACGACGUUGAUAGGCCGGGUGUGUAAGCGCAGCGAUGCGUUGAGCUAACCGGUACUAAUGAACCGUGAGGCUUAACCUUACAACGCCGAAG
RNAcentral lists this ribosomal RNA (2923 nucleotides) under Klebsiella pneumoniae subsp. pneumoniae. RNAcentral's name for it is "23S ribosomal RNA". It matches the Rfam family "Bacterial large subunit ribosomal RNA". Lineage: Bacteria; Pseudomonadati; Pseudomonadota; Gammaproteobacteria; Enterobacterales; Enterobacteriaceae. The record is from RNAcentral.